Molecule: ribosomal RNA, 506 nt
Filed under: uncultured bacterium
Lineage: Bacteria
Description: partial 16S ribosomal RNA
Rfam family: Bacterial small subunit ribosomal RNA
Source: RNAcentral
AGUGAACGCUGGCGGUAGGCCUAACACAUGCAAGUCGAACGGCAGCAAAGGAGAGCUUGCUCUCUGGGUGGCGAGUGGCGGACGGGAGAUGAAUACAUCGGAAUCUACUCUGUCGUGGGGGAUAACGGAGGGAAACUAACGCUAAUACCGUAUACGACGUACGUGUGAAAGCAGGGGACAUUCGGGCCUCGCGCGAUGGAAUGAGCAGGUGUCGGAUUAGCUUGUUGGCGGGGUAAAGGCCCACCAAGGCGACGAUCCGUAGCUGGUCUGAGAGGAUGAUCAGCCCCACUGGAACUGAGACACGGUCCAGACUCCUACGGGAGGCAGCAGUGGGGAAUAUUGGACAAUGGGCGCAAGCCUGAUCCAGCCAUACCGCGUGGGUGAAGAAGGCCUUCGGGUUGUAAAGCCCUGUUGUUGGGAAAGAAAUCCAGCCGGCUAAUACCCGGUUGGGAUGACGGUACCCAAAGAAUAAGCACCGGCUAACUUCGUGCCAGCCGCCGCCGUAA